This 233-nucleotide ribosomal RNA is filed under the name uncultured bacterium. Its description in RNAcentral is "partial 16S ribosomal RNA". It matches the Rfam family "Bacterial small subunit ribosomal RNA", at positions 28 to 253 of the family's 1533-position model. The record is from RNAcentral.
GAUGAACGCUAGCGGCAGGCUUAAUACAUGCAAGUCGAGGGGCAGCAGGGGGUGUAGCAAUACACUCGCUGGCGACCGGCAAACGGGUGCGGAACACGUACGCAACCUACCCAAAACUGAUGAAUAGCCCUCCGAAAGGAGGAUUAAUACAUCGUAACAUAAUGAAGUGGCAUCACUUUAUUAUUAUAGCUCCGGCGGUUUUGGAUGGGCGUGCGCCUGAUUAGANAGUUGGC